Molecule: ribosomal RNA, 671 nt
Filed under: uncultured bacterium
Lineage: Bacteria
Description: bacterial SSU rRNA
Rfam family: Bacterial small subunit ribosomal RNA
Source: RNAcentral
GGAAACAGGUGCUAAUACCGUAUAACACUAUUUUCCGCAUGGAAGAAAGUUGAAAGGCGCUUUUGCGUCACUGAUGGAUGGACCCGCGGUGCAUUAGCUAGUUGGCGAGGUAACGGCUCACCAAGGCCACGAUGCAUAGCCGACCUGAGAGGGUGAUCGGCCACACUGGGACUGAGACACGGCCCAGACUCCUACGGGAGGCAGCAGUAGGGAAUCUUCGGCAAUGGACGAAAGUCUGACCGAGCAACGCCGCGUGAGUGAAGAAGGUUUUCGGAUCGUAAAACUCUGUUGUUAGAGAAGAACAAGGAUGAGAGUAGAACGUUCAUCCCUUGACGGUAUCUAACCAGAAAGCCACGGCUAACUACGUGCCAGCAGCCGCGGUAAUACGUAGGCGGCAAGCGUUGUCCGGAUUUAUUGGGCGUAAAGCGAGCGCAGGCGGUUUCUUAAGUCUGAUGUGAAAGCCCCCGGCUCAACCGGGGAGGGUCAUUGGAAACUGGGAGACUUGAGUGCAGAAGAGGAGAGUGGAAUUCCAUGUGUAGCGGUGAAAUGCGUAGAUAUAUGGAGGAACACCAGUGGCGAAGGCGGCUCUCUGGUCUGUAACUGACGCUGAGGCUCGAAAGCGUGGGGAGCGAACAGGAUUAGAUACCCUGGUAGUCCACGCCGUAAACGAU